RNAcentral lists this ribosomal RNA (423 nucleotides) under uncultured bacterium. RNAcentral describes it as "partial 16S ribosomal RNA". It matches the Rfam family "Bacterial small subunit ribosomal RNA", at positions 360 to 776 of the family's 1533-position model. The record is from RNAcentral.
AAUUUUGGAUAAUCGGCGCAAGCCUGAUCUAGCCGUGCCGCGGCAGCAAAGAAGGCCUUCGGGUUGCAAGCUGUUUCGGUCGGAAUGAAAUCGCGCAGGCUAAUACCCUCCGCGGAUGACAUUACCGUCAUAAGAAGCACCGGCUAACUCUGUGCCAGCAGCCGCGGUAAUACGAAGGGUGCAAGCGUUAAUCGGUACUACUGGGCGUAAAGCGUGCGCAGGCGGUUGAUUAAGACAGGCGUGAAAUCCCCGGGCUUAACGUGGGAGCUGCGCUUGAGACUGGUCAGCUAGAGUACGACAGAGGGGGGUGGAAUGCCACGUGUAGCAGUGAAAUGCGUAGAGAUGUGGAGGACCACCGAUGGCGAAGGCAGCCCCCUGGGCCGAUACUGACGCUCAUGCACGAAAGCGUGGGUAGCAAACAGG